RNAcentral lists this ribosomal RNA (500 nucleotides) under uncultured Glomeromycotina. RNAcentral describes it as "partial small subunit ribosomal RNA". It matches the Rfam family "Eukaryotic small subunit ribosomal RNA", at positions 591 to 1092 of the family's 1831-position model. The record is from RNAcentral. Lineage: Eukaryota; Fungi; Glomeromycota.
CCAAUAGCGUAUAUUAAAGUUGUUGCAGUUAAAAAGCUCGUAGUUGAAUUUCGGGGUCAGCAGGUUGGUCGUGCCAAUGGUAUGCACUGGCCUUGGUGAUUCCUCCCUCUUGUAGAACCGUAAUGCCAUUAAGUUGGUGUUGCGGGGAAACAGGACUGUUACUUUGAAAAAAUUAGAGUGUUUAAAGCAGGCUAACGCCUGAAUACAUUAGCAUGGAAUAAUGAAAUAGGACGAUCGAUCCUAUUUUGUUGGUUUCUAGGAUUGACGUAAUGAUUAAUAGGGAUAGUUGGGGGCAUUAGUAUUCAAUUGUCAGAGGUGAAAUUCUUGGAUUUAUUGAAGACUAACUACUGCGAAAGCAUUUGCCAAGGAUGUUUUCAUUAAUCAAGAACGAAAGUUAGGGGAUCGAAGACGAUCAGAUACCGUCGUAGUCUUAACCAUAAACUAUGCCGACUAGGGAUCGGAUGAUGUUAAUUUUUUAAUGACUCAUUCGGCGCCUUACG